This 310-nucleotide long non-coding RNA is filed under the name Malus domestica (apple). Its description in RNAcentral is "long non-coding RNA (MDOM_LNC016645)". Lineage: Eukaryota; Viridiplantae; Streptophyta; Magnoliopsida; Rosales; Rosaceae. The record is from RNAcentral.
AGCUUGUUGACCUCAUAGAUAGCAAUCCAAAGCAAGUAGAACUUAGGUCAUUAGAAAUAGUUGAACAGCUAAAAUUAGAAGUUCAAAAAAUUCAAUUAGUACAAAAGGAGUUGAGUGAACAAGUAGAUAAGUUGCAUAAUAAAAUAGAUAAAUUAUUGGUUUAAUGACAGAUUCUAGAACUAGCAGAAAAUAUAUCCAAGCUUUGAAAGAAAUCAGUAAGUUAGAUAAAGAACCAGUAGGUUUAACAGAUUUUUCAACACAAGUAUCCAGUAGUAAUAUUCCCAUUAGGCAAAAUAAUUUGAUUAUUCAA